CAGUAGCCGCGGGAAAACGAAGGGGGCUAGCGUUGUUCGGAAUUACUGGGCGUAAAGCGAACGUAGGCGGACAUUUAAGUCAGGGGUGAAAUCCCGGGGCUCAACCCCGGAACUGCCUUUGAUACUGGGUGUCUAGAGUAUGGAAGAGGUGAGUGGAAUUCCGAGUGUAGAGGUGAAAUUCGUAGAUAUUCGGAGGAACACCAGUGGCGAAGGCGGCUCACUGGUCCAUUACUGACGCUGAGGUGCGAAAGCGUGGGGAGCAAACAGGAUUAGAUACCCCCGUAGUCCCUGUCUCUUAUAC
RNAcentral lists this ribosomal RNA (301 nucleotides) under uncultured bacterium. Its description in RNAcentral is "partial 16S ribosomal RNA". It matches the Rfam family "Bacterial small subunit ribosomal RNA", at positions 509 to 807 of the family's 1533-position model. The record is from RNAcentral.